AAACCAUGAUGAGGACGCUAUCAUAAUAAACUCUUAAAUCUGUCUCAUGCUUCAAAUAAUGAUUCUCCGUCUACUUGAGCAAAUCUUGUAAUUCUAUUCCUCAUAU
Molecule: small nucleolar RNA, 106 nt
Organism: Zingiber officinale
Lineage: Eukaryota; Viridiplantae; Streptophyta; Magnoliopsida; Zingiberales; Zingiberaceae
Source: RefSeq, a predicted model, not a curated record